UUACCUGGCCUUGACAUACUAAGAACUUUCCAGAGAUGGAUUGGUGCCUUCGGGAACUUAGAUACAGGUGCUGCAUGGCUGUCGUCAGCUCGUGUCGUGAGAUGUUGGGUUAAGUCCCGCAACGAGCGCAACCCUUUUCCUUAUUUGCCAGCGGGUAAUGCCGGGAACUUUAAGGAUACUGCCAGUGACAAACUGGAGGAAGGCGGGGACGACGUCAAGUCAUCAUGGCCCUUACGGCCAGGGCUACACACGUGCUACAAUGGUCGGUACAAAGGGUUGCUACCUCGCGAGAGGAUGCUAAUCUCAAAAAGCCGAUCGUAGUCCGGAUCGCAGUCUGCAACUCGACUGCGUGAAGUCGGAAUCGCUAGUAAUCGCGGAUCAGAAUGCCGCGGUGAAUACGUUCCCGGGCCUUGUACACACCGCCCGUCACACCAUGGGAGUUUGUUGCACCAGAAGUAGGUAGUCUAACCGCAAGGAGGACGCUUACCACGGUGUGGCCGAUGACUGGGGUGAAGUCGUAACAAGGUAAGCGUACUACA
Molecule: ribosomal RNA, 539 nt
Filed under: uncultured bacterium
Lineage: Bacteria
Description: bacterial SSU rRNA
Rfam family: Bacterial small subunit ribosomal RNA
Source: RNAcentral